Molecule: ribosomal RNA, 385 nt
Filed under: uncultured crenarchaeote
Lineage: Archaea; Thermoproteati; Thermoproteota
Description: bacterial SSU rRNA
Rfam family: Archaeal small subunit ribosomal RNA
Source: RNAcentral
UACCAGCUCUCCGAGUGGUAGGGACGAUUAUUGGGCUUAAAGCGUUCGUAGCCGGCCUGGCAAGUCUCUCGUCAAAUCCAGCGACUCAAUCGCUGGGCCGCGGGAGAUACUGCUAGGCUUGGGAGCGGGAGAGGUCGACGGUAUUCCCGGGGUAGGAGUGAAAUCCUGUAAUCCCGGGAGGACCACCAGUGGCGAAGGCUGUCGACUAGAACGCGUCCGACGGUGAGGGACGAAAGCUGGGGGAGCGAACCGGAUUAGAUACCCGGGUAGUCCCAGCUGUAAACGAUGCGGGCUAGGUGUCGGUGUGGCUACGAGCCACUCCGGUGCCGCAGGGAAGCUCUUAAGCCCGCCGCCUGGGAAGUACGGUCGCAAGGCUGAAACUUAA